This is a long non-coding RNA of Felis catus (domestic cat), 1042 nucleotides long. RefSeq lists it as uncharacterized. Lineage: Eukaryota; Metazoa; Chordata; Mammalia; Carnivora; Felidae. The transcript is spliced from 2 exons. The record is from RefSeq and is a predicted model, not a curated record.
GUUUACAGCCUGAUUGUAGAGACACGCUAACAGAAGAACACUGUUCAGAACUCUUUGUAAGCAUCAUGACAACCAAUUCAAAACGGAUGUGCAAGACAAGUAUGGAGGAGACGCAUGGUAAAGAUGAGGAAGAGGUCUCUCUGAGAAGAUGCUCCGAAUUUUGGAGGAGGUGAUAGGUUUUGGAAUUUGUGACCUGCCUUUUGGAAUGACACCUUUCUCUGGGACUUCUGCAGAAUCUUUUGACACUGUGUACCUGGCUUGAAAUGUGUACCUGGUCUACAAGUUGCUUGGGGUGGUCUAAAAUGCAUGCUGCUUUUGUGUGAUGUGUGGUUAUGAUUUGGAGUUUGCAGUGACUGGAACAUUGCUGUCAGUCUCAGCUGAUGCUUUCUUCCUAUGAAGAGCAGAUUUCUCAACCUUGACCCUGGUGACACAUUGGACCAGAUUAUGUUUUACUGUGCGUCGCUGUCCUGUGCAUUGUAGGCUAGUUAGCAUCCUCCCUGACCUUUGCCCACUGGAUGCCAGUGACAGUCCCCCAGUUGUGACACUCAGAAUAUCUCCAAAUGCUGCCAUAUGUCCUUGGGGGCAAAAUCCAUCCCAGCUAAUUGAGAACCAUUGAUAUCAAGCUCUAUGUGUUGCUCUGGCUUUAUGGAUAGUUGCAGAACAUUUCACAUGUGUUUUCUGUUUGCAGCACCUAUUAACAUAAAUAUUCUUAUUUGGAAUUCUGGCAACGGCCUGGCAGGGAAGAUUAAUGGAGGUAAAAAAAAGCAAAAACAUCCUCCUGUGAUAUUGCAAGGUACUGAAUUACAUGCUAUUUGGGUGCCAAUACAGGAGGCAGUGAUAAACGGAAUAACCUUCAGUUAAACGGUGUAUUCCCCGAGGACGCCAACUUCCUGUUUUAUAGUGUUUUUCACUGUAGCUUAUCCUUCUGGAUCAGUUAAUUGUGUGUUUCUUUUUAUCUUUCACUGAUAUCACCCAGUGUUGACUCCAUAGUAUUUCAUUUUUUUAUUCUUAUAAUCAAUAAAGCUUUGCUACUCAUUUGUCA